AGGGGAAUAGCUGGGUCAAAUGAUAGUUCCAUUCCUAGUUUUCCAAGGAAUCUCCAUACUGCUCUACAAAUUGGCUGCACCAGUUUGCAGUCCCACCAGCAAU
RNAcentral lists this microRNA precursor (103 nucleotides) under Marmota monax (woodchuck). Lineage: Eukaryota; Metazoa; Chordata; Mammalia; Rodentia; Sciuridae. The record is from RNAcentral.